GAGUUUGAUCCUGGCUCAGGACGAACGCUGGCGGCGUGCCUAAUACAUGCAAGUCGAGCGAACCAAUUGAAAGCCUAGCUUUCAUGAGGUUAGCGGCGGACGGGUGAGUAACACGUGGGUAACCUGCCCUAUAGACUGGGAUAACUCGCGGAAACGCGUGCUAAUACCGGAUAACACAUCAAAGUGCAUGCUUUGAUGUUGAAAGAUGGUUCUGCUAUCACUAUAGGAUGGGCCCGCGGCGCAUUAGCUUGUUGGUGGGGUAACGGCCUACCAAGGCGACGAUGCGUAGCCGACCUGAGAGGGUGAUCGGCCACACUGGGACUGAGACACGGCCCAGACUCCUACGGGAGGCAGCAGUAGGGAAUCUUCCACAAUGGGCGAAAGCCUGAUGGAGCAACGCCGCGUGAGCGAAGAAGGUCUUCGGAUCGUAAAGCUCUGUUGUAAGGGAAGAACAAGUGCAGUAGUAACUGGCUGCACCUUGACGGUACCUUACUAGAAAGCCACGGCUAACUACGUGCCAGCAGCCGCGGUAAUACGUAGGUGGCAAGCGUUGUCCGGAAUUAUUGGGCGUAAAGCGCGCGCAGGCGGUCUCUUAAGUCUGAUGUGAAAGCCCCCGGCUUAACCGGGGAGGGUCAUUGGAAACUGGGAGACUUGAGUGCAGGAGAGGGAAGCGGAAUUCCAUGUGUAGCGGUGAAAUGCGUAGAGAUAUGGAGGAACACCAGUGGCGAAGGCGGCUUCCUGGCCUGNUACUGACGCUGAGGCGCGAAAGCGUGGGGAGCAAACAGGAUUAGAUACCCUGGUAGUCCACGCCGUAAACGAUGAGUGCUAAGUGUUUAGGGGGGUUUCACCCCCUUAGUGCUGCAGCUAACGCAUUAAGCACUCCGCCUGGGGAGUACGGUCGCAAGACUGAAA
Molecule: ribosomal RNA, 912 nt
Filed under: uncultured bacterium
Lineage: Bacteria
Description: bacterial SSU rRNA
Rfam family: Bacterial small subunit ribosomal RNA
Source: RNAcentral